GAGGCGUGGUCUUGGACUGGGGAGAGGCCGCGCUUCCUGACCCGGUCCCUCUGCACCAGCGUGGAGGGGGGAGGGGCGCGCACCCUUUCCGCCCAGGCUUUUGCGGGCUCCUCGGGCCGAACCCGAAGGGGCUGUUCCUGAACCUUGACUUGUUAUCAUAGGGACCCAAGCUCUAUUUUUGUGUGGCCAAUUCGUGCACUGCAGCAAAAUGGCCCUUCAGUCGCGUCUUGGGGUUUCUCCUCGGUUCAAAUGCUCUCGCGCUGAGAAAAAGCCGGAGGAAAAAAAAGCGACACCCUCCCUCCCCCAUUAAUUAUUUGUGGGGCCGGAGUAACGCGGGCUGGUGCAACCGGUGCAUAUAAGGACUUGUGUGCAAGGAAGGGGAUCCGCCUCCAGGCGCGGAAAGAGUAGGGAAGAAGCGCACACGCACAGUGCACCCAGCUGGGCGCUUCGGCAGUUUGCAGCUGCGGCGGGGUCGGGUCCACCCGCGGUCCCCGGAAUGCCGGACGGCUGAUCCCGGGUGCUGGUCACUCGCCGAUUCGGGGCUGGGAAGGUUUGCCAGAAGCGGGAAAGAUGGGAGAUCUGAGCGCUCUCUUGGCAUCGCCACACCCAGGACUUGCUCGUGCCGCAAUUCCCCACGGAAACAACCGAGUUGAAACGAGAAGCUUGCUCUCUGGGUGCAGUAGCUAGAAGGCUUCAGGUAACUCCAAAGCCAACACUGGGUGAGGCAACACACGCCGCCUCAGGACUCAGCAUUUCUUUCAGGCUGCGUUUUCGUGGCAGACCUACCCAGAUUGAUGGAGAAAGUUUGGCUGGCGGAUAAGAAGUAACGCGGAAGAUGUGUACGUGAGAGCGAUUUCACUUCACUCACUUUCUCAUUUAAAGAUUAUUGUGGCUGUCACUCAGGUUUUCUGCUCAUUGGUAGACAAAGGGUGAGGAGGUGACUGAAAUUGGAACAGUGGAAGGACCCUUCACCAAAACCUGGAACUUCAGAAGAAUGGCAGGGCUGAAAAUGAUUAGUGUUAAUUCAUUCCAGUUGUGUUACCCUACCCAUAAGACUGCCUGAAGGAGCCUGAACUUCCACGUGCUGUCUUCCAUAUAAUGUGAUCUGAGGUGAAGAGCAUGGUCCCUGGAGUUGAACUGCCUGAAGUAAAUCCCAAAAUAGAAAAAUAAAAAUAAAACAGUGGUUUUAUUGUUUUUAUUUCUUGUUUCUCAUUGAUAGGUAGAUAGAGAGUUUUCUUUAAAAGCCUAGUGCUUUUGGGAUAAUAAUGGCAAGUGAUUACAUCUCUUUUGUAUUAAAUAGGUUUGGAGAAAUUUUCUUAAUUAUCUGGUACUAUUUAAACUCAAAGGCAAACACAACACUCUAUCUAAAAUACCAGUAUUACACUUUCCCUAAAUGCAGAAAACUAUUUUUACUAAAAAUUUGGCAAGCACUUUCAAAACAGCAUUUUUCUGUUUUCAUUCCUUGAGAAUUUCCUAACAAGUAUGC
This 1486-nucleotide long non-coding RNA is filed under the name Homo sapiens (human). RNAcentral describes it as "HSALNT0064096". Lineage: Eukaryota; Metazoa; Chordata; Mammalia; Primates; Hominidae. The record is from RNAcentral.